CUCGGGGACGAGCAAGGGGGUGGUGGCCGACCGCGCUGCGCUCCCGGCGCGGGGCCGCGUGUAUUUGUAUCGUGACCUUGUGCACGUCCCAGCUUUAACCUCCUCCAAAUUACAGCUUGGAUCAUAACCCCUGCCCUGCUUGCCCGCCGGGUGGUGGGGUAAUAUAUUCCGGUGGGGCGGGAGGGGGGGUGGCAGAGAGACUGCCAACUCCCCCUGUGUGCCUGAGCUCAGCCCGCCCAGAAUUUUGAGGCAGUUCAGGCCCUGGCCUGCGACCUCCUCCAGGAAGGGGCUCUCGGGGGUUUAGGCUCCGCGGAGCCCGCACGUCCCCGGGUGCUUGGCUCCGGGGUGACCCCAGCAUCUGGCCGCGGCGGGCCGCAGUCGUGACUCUCGGCAACCCCAGGCGGGAGGAGGAGCUGGCCGACGCAAUUUAGGCUGAAGGGGAAGUCGUGUGGGUUACCCUGAUCUGCGGACGCGGUGAAGGCGACCCCGAGUCGCGCCAGAGAACCACCAGCCUCAGAGAAGGCACGGGUUUCUGACUGUCAGACCUACGCGCGGAGAGUCCUUAAAGGAAGAAGUCUCCCAACCCUUCACAAAAAUAUAAAACCGUCUGGAAGAGGAAACAUCUACUGGAUGGAAGGAGAUAAUUGCAAAUAAAAGGUAAUGAGGAGGAGGAACCUGAAAGGAAUGGUAACACAGGUUUUCUUUGCACUUGACUGUAGGUAAACCCCAGAGUUUUAAUGCUAUCAUGCAGCCAACCCUCUAACAGAAGGCUUAAAUCUCCCCAAGCCGUGGGCCAGCCGGCAGAGAUUUCUCAGGCAGCUUCCCACGACCUGUUGCCAUUACCACCGCCUCAGAUAUGGAUUGGCUAGCAAUAGAAUUCAAAGGACUAAAGAGUCUGUGUGAUGCUACAGAUGAAAGCUCUACCCAGGUAAGUUAUAUUUUAAUUAAUAUCAUGCAUACCUUAUCUUAUUCCACUAAAGUUUUGAGGGGUCACAUGGGAAUCCAUAUAAGAAAUAAAUAUGAAAAUGAUGAAUAAGUUAUAGAAAAAGACAACAUAGAAAUCACAAUCUUGGGUCAAGAUGAGAAGAAAAUAAGAACCCUAAUAAGUAUGUGGAGUACUAGACAAUUAUUAAAGAGGAGCUUUAAAUUUGUCUCUG
This 1157-nucleotide long non-coding RNA is filed under the name Canis lupus familiaris (dog). Its description in RNAcentral is "lncRNA (ENSCAFG00000057424.1, ENSCAFG00845012913.1)". Lineage: Eukaryota; Metazoa; Chordata; Mammalia; Carnivora; Canidae. The record is from RNAcentral.